Molecule: ribosomal RNA, 253 nt
Filed under: uncultured bacterium
Lineage: Bacteria
Description: partial 16S ribosomal RNA
Rfam family: Bacterial small subunit ribosomal RNA
Source: RNAcentral
UACGGGGGGGGCAAGCGUUGUUCGGAAUUACUGGGCGUAAAGGGCUUGUAGGUGGCCAACUAAGUCAGACGUGAAAUCCCUCAGCUUAACUGGGGAACUGCGUCUGAUACUGGAUGGCUUGAGUUUGGGAGAGGGACGCGGAAUUCCUGGUGUAGCGGUGAAAUGCGCAGAUAUCAGGAGGAACACCUAUUGCGAAGGCAGCUCGCUGGGACGUCACUGACGCUGAGACGCGAAAGCGUGGGGAGCAAACAGG